UACGUAUGGUGCAAGCGCUAUCCGGAUUUACUGGGUGUAAAGGGAGCGUAGGCGGCGCGUUAAGUCUGAUGUGAAAACCCGAGGCUCAACCACGGGAGUGCAUUGGAAACUGGCGGGCUGGAGUGCCGGAGAGGUAAGCGGAAUUCCUAGUGUAGCGGUGAAAUGCGUAGAUAUUAGGAGGAACACCAGUGGCGAAGGCGGCUUACUGGACGGCAACUGACGCUGAGGCUCGAAAGCGUGGGGAGCAAACAGG
This 253-nucleotide ribosomal RNA is filed under the name uncultured bacterium. RNAcentral's name for it is "partial 16S ribosomal RNA". It matches the Rfam family "Bacterial small subunit ribosomal RNA", at positions 524 to 776 of the family's 1533-position model. The record is from RNAcentral.